CAGGCUUAACACAUGCAAGUCGAGGGGUAUUUAUCUUCGGAUAGAGAGACCGGCGCACGGGUGCGUAACGCGUAUGCAAUCUACCUUUUACAGAGGGAUAGCCCAGAGAAAUUUGGAUUAAUACCUCAUAGUAUAUAGACUCGGCAUCGAGAUUAUAUUAAAGUCACAACGGUAAAAGAUGAGCAUGCGUCCCAUUAGCUAGUUGGUAAGGUAACGGCUUACCAAGGCUACGAUGGGUAGGGGUCCUGAGAGGGAGAUCCCCCACACUGGUACUGAGACACGGACCAGACUCCUACGGGAGGCAGCAGUGAGGAAUAUUGGACAAUGGGCGCAAGCCUGAUCCAGCCAUGCCGCGUGCAGGAUGACGGUCCUAUGGAUUGUAAACUGCUUUUAUACGAGAAGAAACAUCCCGACGUGUCGGGACUUGACGGUAUCGUAAGAAUAAGGAUCGGCUAACUCCGUGCCAGCAGCCGCGGUAAUACGGAGGAUCCAAGCGUUAUCCGGAAUCAUUGGGUUUAAAGGGUCCGUAGGCGGUUUAAUAAGUCAGUGGUGAAAGCCCAUCGCUCAACGGUGGAACGGCCAUUGAUACUGUUAGACUUGAAUUAUUAGGAAGUAACUAGAAUAUGUAGUGUAGCGGUGAAAUGCUUAGAGAUUACAUGGAAUACCAAUUGCGAAGGCAGGUUACUACUAAUUGAUUGACGCUGAUGGACGAAAGCGUGGGUAGCGAACAGGAUUAGAUACCCUGGUAGUCCACGCCGUAAACGAUGGAUACUAGCUGUU
RNAcentral lists this ribosomal RNA (780 nucleotides) under Flavobacterium succinicans. RNAcentral's name for it is "bacterial SSU rRNA". It matches the Rfam family "Bacterial small subunit ribosomal RNA", at positions 43 to 824 of the family's 1533-position model. Lineage: Bacteria; Pseudomonadati; Bacteroidota; Flavobacteriia; Flavobacteriales; Flavobacteriaceae. The record is from RNAcentral.